Molecule: ribosomal RNA, 253 nt
Filed under: uncultured bacterium
Lineage: Bacteria
Description: partial 16S ribosomal RNA
Rfam family: Bacterial small subunit ribosomal RNA
Source: RNAcentral
UACGUAGGGUGCAAGCGUUAAUCGGAAUUACUGGGCGUAAAGCGUGCGCAGGCGGUUGUGCAAGACCGAUGUGAAAUCCCCGGGCUUAACCUGGGAAUGGCAUUGGUGACUGCACGUCUAGAGUGUGUCAGAGGGGGGUAGAAUUCCACGUGUAGCAGUGAAAUGCGUAGAGAUGUGGAGGAAUACCGAUGGCGAAGGCAGCCCCCUGGGAUAACACUGACGCUCAUGCACGAAAGCGUGGGGAGCAAACAGG